RNAcentral lists this ribosomal RNA (484 nucleotides) under uncultured bacterium. Its description in RNAcentral is "partial 16S ribosomal RNA". It matches the Rfam family "Bacterial small subunit ribosomal RNA", at positions 30 to 507 of the family's 1533-position model. The record is from RNAcentral.
AUUGAACGCUAGCGGGAUGCUUUACACAUGCAAGUCGAACGGCAGCGCGGACUUCGGUCUGGCGUCGAGUGGCGCACGGGUGUGUAAUGUAUCUGAACGUGCCCAUUAGCGUGGUCUAACUACUCGAACGCGUAGCUAAUACCGCAUACUCCCUACGGGGGAAAGCCUGUGAUCCUAAGACCUUUCCCUAUUUUAGCCGCCGAUCUCGGAUUAGCUAGUUGGUUUGGUAACGGCUCACCAAGGCGACGAUCCGUAGCUGGUUUGAGAGGACGACCAGCCACACUGGGACUGAGACACGGACCAGACUCCUACGGGAGGCAGCAGUGGGGAAUUUUGGACAAUGGGGGCAACCCUGAUCCAGCAAUCCCGCGUGUGAGAUGAAGGCCUUCGGGUUGUAAAGCACUUUUGGCAGGAAAGAAACGAAGCGGGCUAAUACCCCGUGGAACUGACGGUACCUGCAGAAUAAGCACCGGCUAACUACGUG